CAUAAAUAAAAUAAGUGUGUUUUUUUAGGAUUUACUAUGAGCUAAAUAUGUUCUCAAGAAAAAAAUUGUGGAGUGAUCCGCCAUUGGCAACGUGGCAAAGAGCGAGGUUCAUCUAGCAAACAAACUCUUGCAGCUAUUAUCGCUGGAGUGGUGGGGAGAUUGGUCUUGGCUGCAGCUCUGUUAAUUAACACUCAUGAUCUAUAACAUGAAGAAAGACCACUGUCAACCAGCAGAACACUUCGAACGGAGGAUAUCUGGAACCUAAGAAAAAGGAGUUUAUUGCGUAACUUCCUUAUGCAUGCAUGACUAAGUCACUUUGAAUAAAAGCGUCUACUAAAUGGCAUAUUAUAUGAAGACCGUAUACAUCAAUGAUGUCGAUCUUGCUGCUGGUGAUUCUCUGAUCCACCUCUACACAGACGACACCAUUCUGCAUACUUCUGGCCUUUCUUUGGACACUGUUAACUAACCUCCAGACGAGCUUCAAUGCCAUACAACUCUCCUUCCGUUGCCUCCAACUGCUCUUAAAUGCAAGUAAAACUAAGUGCAUGCUCUUCAACCGAUCGCUGCCCGCCCGUCCAGCAUCACUACUCUGGACGGUUCUGACUUAGAAUAUGUGGAUAACUACAAAUACCUAGGUGUCUGGUUAGACUAUAAACGCUCCUUCCAGACUCACAUUAAGCAUCUCCAAUCCAAAAUGAAAUCUAGAAUUGGCUUCCUGUUUCGCAACAAAGCAUCCUUCACUCAUGCUGCCAAACAUACCCUCGUAAAACGGACUAUCCUACCAAUCCUUGACUUCAGCUAUGUCAUUUACAAAAUAGCCCCCGAUGCUCUACUCAGCAAAUUGGAUGCAGUCUAUCACAGUGCCAUCGGCUUUGUCACCAAAGCCCCAUAUACUACUCACCACUGCGACCUGUAUGCUCUCGUUGGCAGGCCCUCGCUUCAUAUUCGUCACCAAACCCACUGGCUCCAGGUCAUCUAAGUCUUUGCUAGGUAAAGCUCCGCCUUAUCUCAGCUCACGGGUCACCAUAGCAGCACCCACCCGUAGCGCGCACUCCAGCAGGUAUAUUUCACUGGUCAC
Molecule: long non-coding RNA, 1078 nt
Filed under: Salmo salar (Atlantic salmon)
Lineage: Eukaryota; Metazoa; Chordata; Actinopteri; Salmoniformes; Salmonidae
Description: lncRNA (ENSSSAG00000096273.1)
Source: RNAcentral